GAUGUCAUUAUCGAGUUUCAGGGCUUUUAAAUUGAUAUAUUGUUGUUUGGAGUUUGGACGUUCAGUGUUAGCUCUAGAAUGAUAUCUAUGUUGGUGUUUUUAGCAAGAUGUUUGCAUGAUUGCCGGCAUAAAAUUUGAGUUUUGCACUCAAUUCUCUUACUGAAAAUAGCAUGUAGUUAUACUUACUUUUUUUCCUCCAAUAACAGAAUGCUGCUUAUCUGAUCAUCCG
This 229-nucleotide unclassified non-coding RNA is filed under the name Hevea brasiliensis (rubber tree). Lineage: Eukaryota; Viridiplantae; Streptophyta; Magnoliopsida; Malpighiales; Euphorbiaceae. The record is from RNAcentral.